GCGCGAAGCCCCAACCGCCACCCUGAAACUUCUCUUACGCUUCCUGCCACCGCCCGCCCUCUCACCCCACCCAUUGACAGCGACAAAUCAAGCCGCACGGCUGUCCGUACUCGUCAUCCAAGCCCGCCCCUCCUCCAGAUGGCCGCACCCUCCCCGCCGCCAAUCUGAAAUCCGGCCCACCGCGCGACCGCCGAUAGAUUCCAGCCCUCAACCACCCCUCAGUGGCUCUGCUUGCCAUGGAUUUGCAGCACUACCUUUCCGCGACUCGCCGCCGACUGUCCUCGAAAUAGGGUUCUGCCGCGCAUUACCCCUAUCUGUCGGCAGAUUCCAUGACCACAACCAUCUACCGAGCACGGAAGAGGCGACCGCCAACCCGAUUUCAGCUUCCCGCCGCUGCCCCGCCCUCUCCCCCAACCACCGCCGGCCUAGUUCCUCGGCGCAUGGAAGGUGUUUGACAAGAAGGGUCCAAGAUGGUUUCGUUGCGCGAUACGGCAUGGAGGAAGAUGAGGACAGUGAUAUGAUUUUGUUCUUAAGUCAAGAAAAAUAGGUCGAAAUAUGGCGGUUCGGUCUUUGUUUCAUGAUGAACCAUUUGUUUCACUUGUUAUGACGAGGACAUUGUUGUGAUUUUGUCAUGUGUGUGCUACUUAUUGAACCAUUUGUUUCAUUUUUGUCAUGUGUGUGCCAAAAAAAACUAUGUUCUAGUA
Brachypodium distachyon (stiff brome) is the source of this 704-nucleotide long non-coding RNA. RefSeq lists it as uncharacterized. The record is from RefSeq and is a predicted model, not a curated record. The transcript is spliced from 2 exons. Lineage: Eukaryota; Viridiplantae; Streptophyta; Magnoliopsida; Poales; Poaceae.